GUCCGAUGUUAAAAUCAUCUGUUAGAAGGGCCGGGCAAGACCGGUGCCAGCCGCCGCGGUACACCGGCGGCCCGAGUGGUGAUCGUGAUUAUUGGGUCUAAAGGGUCCGUAGCCGGUUUGGUCAGUCCUCCGGGAAAUCUGAUGGCUCAACCAUUAGGCUUUCGGGGGAUACUGCCAGGCUUGGAACCGGGAGAGGUAAGAGGUACUACAGGGGUAGGAGUGAAAUCUUGUAAUCCCUGUGAGACCACCUGUGGCGAAGGCGUCUUACCAGAACGGGUUCGACGGUGAGGGACGAAAGCUGGGGGCMUSMUCCKUUUUAGAUACCCGGGUAGUCCCAGCCGUAAACGAUGCAGCGAUUUCAGGCAUGGCGCGACCGUGUCUGGUCCGCAGGGAASCMGUGWAGCGAGCCACCYUGG
Molecule: ribosomal RNA, 416 nt
Filed under: uncultured Methanosarcinaceae archaeon
Lineage: Archaea; Methanobacteriati; Methanobacteriota; Methanomicrobia; Methanosarcinales; Methanosarcinaceae
Description: bacterial SSU rRNA
Rfam family: Archaeal small subunit ribosomal RNA
Source: RNAcentral